GGAGCCCGAAGUCCCUCCACAAGCUUGGCUGUGAUCCUUCUAAGCUUUCUUCAAAUGGCAAUCUGUGGGCUAUGGAAAGUUUGUUCAACUGUCUCUGCUCCCAGCCUCCUCUGUUCAGGGCUGUCUGACAGCUGUUUGGCCCAAACCAGUCUGGAGAGAGAGUACUGGGGACACCAAUGUGAUGGCUGCAUGAGGACUUGGAAGGUCAUCGUCCAUCAUGAGAUAAGUAAAGGGGAACCCUGUAUUUCUCCCUCUCCUUUAAGAUAUUGGGGCAGGGAAAAAUCUUAAGUAUCAUCUUGUUCUCUCCCAUAUUUUAUAAUGAAGAAACUGAGGCCUGAAGAAGUAGAGAUUUGUGCAAAGUUGGGGUCAAUUCAUAGAGGAGUCAGAGGAUGAUCAUAGUCAUCAACUUCUCUAUUACAUUCUGUGGAUGUUGAUUUAAAAUGAUUUUGUUCAGCCUCUUCCCACCUGUGUAACACUAAGGUGGUCAUAUAACCUCAUUAGGCAUACAUGACCUUUAAAUUUUUAGGUGUCCCUUAAAUUUAAAAUGAAGAUAAUAACUGAAUCUACUUCAUGAGGUAAUAGAAUGAAAUAGGUACUACCUUGUAAAGAACUUAGCAUAGGACCUGACACUUAGCAACUGUUCUGUAAACAUUCCUAAUCAUUACCAGUGUUAUUGCAACCACUGGGGGCUUUGGAAAACAGGGUCUAUAUGAAUGCACUGGCAUGUGUCCAUGCCCUUCCCUGGGAAGCUUGCCAUCACCCACUGCCCUUCUUCAGAUAAGUGUCAAUGGCUCUAAGAUGCUGCUCAGGUAGCACCUCCUCAAGACACUUUCUUUGCAUCUCCAGCUUGGGAUACUUGUCUGCUCCACAUCAGUGUCUCCAUAGCAUCUAGGACAGCCACAUUAUGAAUCAUUCACAAUGAUUUUCUUCUUUUAUUGACUUGGCAUCUCCACCACCACUAAGCUGGAGAAGGGCAGAGGUGGUGUUUUAUUUGUCUCUGCACGUUAGUGUCUAAGCAUGCCACAGAGAGUACAGUAUGAAAUGUCUGUUGACUAUAGGAGGGAAAAAAAGAAAAAAUGGAGGAGCGGAGGAAGGGAGAAAGACAACAAGCAGAUACUAUAUUAAAGAGUGGUGGUAUCAAUGCAUUUUAACUAUCUAGCUUCCUUCUUCUAGCCAAGGGAGGCUUACCUCCCUAGUAUUGUACCUUUUCCUUACCUAGCCUUCUAAGACCCUAUUCCAACCCUGAGGUUGUCUUUAUACAUAUCAAAGCUGUAAUCAAACAGUGAGGCAAAUACAACAUUGUCAUAAUCACACCUACCCUCUCAGAUGGCAAGAUGCUUUUAAAUUAAUCACCCCACAAACACUCUUUGAAGGAGGGGGUAGUAGCAUGUUUUUAGGUGAAAAAAGAAACUGGACAGAAAGCAGAUGAACUGGUCUGAAAUCCACAUCUCCUGGGCCACAGGUCAAUGCACUUAAUGUCUUCACCAUACUACUUUCUUUCUCCUGUGGACUGCUCCACAGCCUCAAUUCUACGCUAUUUUGCAAACCUCAAGCCAAUAAUAAUGGAACAACUAACUCUGUAGUCUUGACAUCAAUCUCAUCAAAGCUCCCACCCAGCAUUCUCUCUUUCCAUUCUAAAAGUCAAAGUGUUUUCCUGCUCACAACAACAGAACAGAAUUAUUAAUGAGAGAAAAUUGAGUUUGCCUACUCCUUGUAACAACCCUCUGCCCCAGUUCCUGGGAACAUAUUUUUGGACUAAAUCUGCUAUCAAAACACAGAAAUUAGUCUCCAAUUUUGGACAUCAAACUCAGUUAUCUUUUUUGUUAUGAAGGGAAAUUAGUAACAAUUCAUUCUGGUUGGAAGCCAAGCUAAUAUCUUAGCACAGAGUGUCAUUAAAAAUCACAGUCCCACUGGGUGCUGUGGUAUCUUUAAAAGCUUGAACAUAUUCAGCUGCUUAGAAUGGUUUUUCUGGGUUUGUUCUCCCCCAAGCCGCUUGUCACUUUAACCUCAGGAUCAGUUAAUAUUUAAGGCAGAAAAUGGCUUGAAGCAUCAUUUUUUUCUUCCAUGGUUUUGUGGAUUUAGACUUUCCUAAUGAAGAGAUUUGGAAAAAAAAAAAAAAAAGGAAUUUUACUCUAAGGGGUGUCCACAGCUCCUAGCCAUUGCUAAGCAAGUUGGCCAUUAAAUAGAAGAAAAAGAAGAAGAAAAAAGUUUUCACAGUUUAUAAUUAUAUUACCGAUUUCAUUACAGAUCUCAUUUUAAUUCUGACUGAAAUCUUGCCUUGCCUUCUCCCUGUACUCUCUCACGUACAGUUAUUAAGUCUAGGUUGGAGUUCAAGCUAUUCUUCCUGAUUUCAGCAUAUUAAUAUGGUUUAUUGGUAUUUCAUUGCCACCUCCCCUAUGGGGGUUCUGAAUCUCAGCUCAAUUUAUAUUUCCCCUCUUUCUAGGCUCCAGCAUGAAGGUUGUUUCAUUUUGAUGUUGAGAAGGCAUGUGUGAAUUUGAUUGGAGUUUAUUUUGGGGGAUGGGAGCAACAUCCUUGGGGAGUGAAAUCAAUCACAGAAGAAUAGGCAGCCUCAGACCUCCUGCACUGUCAUUCUUUAGGAUGUAUCUUCCUAGAUCAUCUGGGUCCACCUGUCGGUCCUCCCUUACUUCAUUUUUUACAGACACAGUUUCUUAUAUGCCUAUUGAGUCAGAACCUCUAUUAGUCAUCACAAUAAGUCAGAACGUGAAUAAGCUGUGGUCCUUGACCUUGAAAAAAUUCAAGUCUAACCCCUGAAAUAACUUUAAAAAAAUAUAAAAAACCCAGUGAAAGCUUUUUAGGGGCAUCAAGUACGUUUUGAACCCUGUCCAAGGUUCUGAAUACAACAUGCAAAACAAAUACAAUCUUUAUCCUUAUGAAACUUGAAACCUAGUGAGAACACUAACUAGAUAAAUACACAAUUAUACAUUGAAAUAAGUGUAAUAAGAAAAAAGGGCAGGGUUCAAGGAGAAUGAUUAGUAAGGGAGCUAACAGAGACUGGGAAGUAAAAAAGGAAAGUCCAUUACCAUAGGGUAAAUGAGAGAAACUGGAGAUAAGGGAAGAAGUUUUCAGGCAAAGAAAAAAACAUGUGCAAAGGUCCUGAGGCAGGAGGCAACAGAGAAAUUUAAGGAACCAAUAUAGGGAGAGGUAGUGUGAGGUAAGACUGAAAAGGCAGGCAAGGGCCUGACAUUGCAAGGAUGCAAAGACCAUGAUAAGAACUUCAGUCUUCAAAACAAGUAAAAAAAAAACAAUAUACAGUUUUAUGGAAAGUAUGAUAUGUAUACAAUACAUUUAUGCAAUGUAUUGAUAUUUUUAAUUGUAAAAGAUUGCUGUGUUUGCACUAUUUUUUUUUUUUUUGAGACAGAGUCUCGCUCUGUCGCCAGGCGCCAGGCUGGAGUGCAAUGGCACAAUCUCGGCUCACUGCAACCUCCGCCUCCUGGGUUCAAGCAAUUCUCCUGCCUCAGCCUCCUGAGUAGCUGGGAUUACAGGCAUGUGCCACCACGCCCAGCUAAUUUUUGUAUUUUUAGUAGAGACAGGGUUUCACCACGUUGGCCAGGAUGGUUUCGAUCUCCUGACCUUGUGAUCUGCCCGCCUCAGCCUUCCAAAGUGCUGGGAUUACAGGCAUGAGCCACUGUGCCUGGCCGUGUUUGCACUAUUGAGAAAAGACAGUAGAGAGGCUAGAUUUAAAGCAGUAGGCCAGUUUGUAGGACUGUGGCAGUUGUCUCCAUGACACAUAUGUAACAGUAAUAGUCACAGGAGUUAGACUGAAGUCUUUAGAAAGGCAUAUGUAGUUCUAGGUAAUGUAUAUGAAAGGAGACGAUUUUUGUCUCUGGUGACUCAUUGAAGAAGGUUUGCUAGAGGAGGGAGAAAAAUAAGUUAUGCCAUAGAGAUAGGUGAGAUUGACAUAUAUGCAAAUAUAUGAUGGAGAGGAAUGUAUAAGCAAAGGCAUAUAGAAAGGCAGGUACCAGAUAAGAUAGUCUACUUGUCUAAAAACAGCAUCUAAUGAGUUAAUGAGGAAACAGACAGAAGGCAUAUUGUAUACAACUUCCAUUCAUGAGCAUGUUCCACAGUAUUAAAAGACCUGCAGUCAAUACUGAGCAUUUUAAAACAAAGCUUGGGAUGAUUUCAGAGAGCAGAACGUCCAAGGAACUACUCUUUUUAAAUAAAUUGCUUGGCAGUUUGUGGCCAAGGAUCCACUUUCAAUGUGGUAUAAUUUUCCCUUCUAAGAAUUGAAAAUACUCUUUCCUUGUAUUAAAAUCGCUGCAAACUAGUUCUCAAGCCAAUUAUGGACCUCAUUCUUCUCUAACAGCAUGAAGCCAUGCAUUAGCUCACUCUUUUGGGAUGGGAGACAUCAAGUAGGGAAAAAAGCAAAUAAACGUAGGCACACGUUAUUGUACACAAUUUUAUGCUCAAAACCAGAUACAUGUGUGGCAUAUUAGUGAACUAUGCCGUCCCAAAAUGUGGGCAUUUAUACUUGAUGAUUUCACGGGCUAAGAAGGAAUACUCAGAGCCCAAAUACCUCAGUCAUAGGGAACAGAAAAGACUUGGCUAUCAACUUAAGUCAAUCUAAAAGAUGAUGUUAACCAUUUAAAUUAACUUGAAUAAAAAAAAUUUUAGCAUAGGUAUUUUAAUGUAACAAUCAUAUCAAUAUAUAAAAUUGUGUGUGUGUGUCUGAGACAGAGAGAGAGAGAGAGAAAGACAGAGAGAGAGAGAGAGAGAGAGAGAGAGAGAGAGAGAGAGAGAGAGAGAGAGAGAGAGAGUUUAGCUAAGUAAUGUAUUCAAGAGACAGCGACAUCCCUGGUUUUUACCCAUUUCUGAGCCUAUGCAAAGCAUUCGCGACACUCUGGAUGAAGUACUAAGGUAUAAACAAACGUAUUCUAAAAGUUAUAAAAAUUAAGUGGUUUUAAAAUUUACAGUUUAAUAAGAUGGCUCCAAGACAAAAUAUCAUGUAUUCAAGCCAAACACAUCUCUUCCUUUCUCUUCUACAGCUUCAUGAAAAUGUGGUCAUCUAUUCUCAGGAGAUUUUCUAUGAUGGGGAACUCAUUACCUUGCAAUGACCCCUUCCAAUAUUAAGAAAAUAUUAUUACAACUUAUAACAUUUACAUAAUAUAUUGAGCCAUUAUUAGGUCUUAGGUACUGAGCUAAAAGCUUUAUAAGUAUUAUUUCACUUAUUCUUCACAAUAACUUUAUGAGAUAAGUACUGCUAUUAUUCCCAAUUUAUAGAUAAUGUAACUGAAGCUGAAAAUGUUUAAGUAACUAUCACAAGUCACACAGUCAACAGCAGAGGAAGAUGUUUCCAAACUAGGGUUCAUCUUCUCCCAUUCCUGACCACACUCAUCACUCGUAUAACUCUCUAGCUGUGCUUCCUUAAAUCUUCCAGAACCAGCCUGCUCUCUUCAAAAAAAUUAAUAAUUAUCCUGAUCUCCUCUCUGGAAGCUUAGAAUGUAGAAGAAUCUUAGACUGGGGGCUCAGGUAGACUUAGGUUUUCAUACCACGUCAUCUGUAUGUUAAUCUAAUAAAGAUCCCUGAGCCCCACUUUUCAAGUAUGCAAAUGAGGAUACUAAAUCCCAACUCUCAGUUUUGCUAUGAGAACUGAAUGAAGAGUCCUAUGUAAAGUGUUUUGUAUGCUGCUCAAUAGAUAACAGACAUACUCAAUAAUAGUAAGUUCCCUUCCUGUCUAGGUUCCUUCAACUCUUGUUAUUGAAUGUCUUCCAUCUUUUCCUUAAGAGGCCAUUGGGUAUCUACAGUGCUUUCUCAAUAUUUUAACUGCCAAAUCCUCUCACUUGAAUAACUUCCAAUGUAUAACAACUCUUGGAACAAAACAGAGAACUCUAGGUGGAAUGUUACCUGCCUACACUGGAGAAGAACCAUCUUACCUACUUCACCUAAAAAGCUUCUUCCUUUAAAAGCAGACUCUUCUACUGGCUGACCACAUUGGAUCCUUCUCUACUCCUACAGAAGACUGGAUUCUACUCCUUUCGCAUCCCAGUUACUAUAUCUGCCAAAAAUGGAUAAUAAAGACCACUUUGGAGAGCUGUUGGAGGAAUGAGAUGAGCAAUUCCCAUAGACUUUCUGCCAAAGGAGGCCUUGGGAUUAUGCUGGGGAAGGAUAAAAGCAGUGCUUACUGGAUAAAGAAAAUGUGGCACAUAUACACCAUGGAAUACUAUGUGGCCAUAAAAAAGAAUGAGUUCAUGUCCUUUGCAGGGACAUGGAUGAAGCUGGAAACCAUCAUCCUCAGCAAACUAACACAGGAACAGAAAACCAAACACUACUUGUUCUCACUCGUAAGUGGGAGUUGAACAAUGAGAACACAGGGACACAGGGAGGGGAACAUCGCACACUGGGGCCUGUCAGGGGAUGGGGGGAACGGGGAGGGGAAGCAUUAGGACAAAUACCUAACACAUGCAGGGCUUAAACCCUAGAUGAUGGGUUGAUGAGUGCAGCAAACCACCAUGACACAUGUAUACCUAUGUAACAAACCUGCAUGUUUAGCACAUGUAUCCCAGAACUUAAAGUAAAAUAAAAAAUAAAAAUAAAUAAA
Long non-coding RNA from Callithrix jacchus (white-tufted-ear marmoset), 6556 nucleotides. RefSeq lists it as uncharacterized. The record is from RefSeq and is a predicted model, not a curated record. NCBI's taxonomy places the organism in Eukaryota, Metazoa, Chordata, Mammalia, Primates, Cebidae.